This 497-nucleotide ribosomal RNA is filed under the name uncultured bacterium. RNAcentral's name for it is "partial 16S ribosomal RNA". It matches the Rfam family "Bacterial small subunit ribosomal RNA", at positions 28 to 507 of the family's 1533-position model. The record is from RNAcentral.
GAUGAACGCUGGCGGCGUGCCUAAUACAUGCAAGUCGAGCGAACGGACGAUAAGCUUGCUUCUCUGAUGUUUGCGGCGGGCGGGUGAGUAACACGUGGAUAACCCACCUAUAUGUCGGGGAUAACCUCGGGAAACCGGAGCUAAUACCGGAUAAUAUUUUGAACCGCAUGGUUCAAAAGUGAAUUUCGGUCUUGCUGUCACUUAUCGAUGGAUCCGCGCUGCAUUAGCUAGUUGGUAAGGUAACGGCUUACCAAGGCAACGAUGCAUAACCGACCUGAGAGGAUGAUCGCCCACAUUGGAACUGAGCCGCGGUCCAGACUCCUACGGGAGGCAGCAGUAGGGAAUGUUACGCAGUGGGCGAAAGCCUGGCGCAGCAAGGCGGCGUGAGUGAUGAAGGUGUUGGGAUCGGAAAACCCUGUUAUUAGGGAAGAACAUAUGUGGAAUUAAAUGAGCACAUCGUGACGGUACCUAAUCAGAAAGCCACGGCUAACUACGUG